Molecule: ribosomal RNA, 600 nt
Filed under: Bacteroides sp. HGA0068
Lineage: Bacteria; Pseudomonadati; Bacteroidota; Bacteroidia; Bacteroidales; Bacteroidaceae
Description: bacterial SSU rRNA
Rfam family: Bacterial small subunit ribosomal RNA
Source: RNAcentral
AGUCGAGGGGCAGCAUGGUCUUAGCUUGCUAAGGCCGAUGGCGACCGGCGCACGGGUGAGUAACACGUAUCCAACCUGCCGUCUACUCUUGGACAGCCUUCUGAAAGGAAGAUUAAUACAAGAUGGCAUCAUGAGUCCGCAUGUUCACAUGAUUAAAGGUAUUCCGGUAGACGAUGGGGAUGCGUUCCAUUAGAUAGUAGGCGGGGUAACGGCCCACCUAGUCUUCGAUGGAUAGGGGUUCUGAGAGGAAGGUCCCCCACAUUGGAACUGAGACACGGUCCAAACUCCUACGGGAGGCAGCAGUGAGGAAUAUUGGUCAAUGGGCGAGAGCCUGAACCAGCCAAGUAGCGUGAAGGAUGACUGCCCUAUGGGUUGUAAACUUCUUUUAUAAAGGAAUAAAGUCGGGUAUGGAUACCCGUUUGCAUGUACUUUAUGAAUAAGGAUCGGCUAACUCCGUGCCAGCAGCCGCGGUAAUACGGAGGAUCCGAGCGUUAUCCGGAUUUAUUGGGUUUAAAGGGAGCGUAGAUGGAUGUUUAAGUCAGUUGUGAAAGUUUGCGGCUCAACCGUAAAAUUGCAGUUGAUACUGGAUAUCUUGAGUGC